This is a long non-coding RNA of Leopardus geoffroyi (Geoffroy's cat), 3405 nucleotides long. RefSeq lists it as uncharacterized. The record is from RefSeq and is a predicted model, not a curated record. The transcript has 3 exons. Lineage: Eukaryota; Metazoa; Chordata; Mammalia; Carnivora; Felidae.
GACAGAGCCAGCCGGGGGCAUCUUUAGUUCUGCUCAGUCCCAGCAAUCAGGCCCAGUGUGGCUCUUCCUCCUCGGAGCUCCACGAGGGCCACUGCUCUGGGAGAGCCGGGGUUUCCACAGGGAGCACUUAGCCAAGCGCCCUCCUCACACAGACCAGGAUGACAGUGCUGGGUUCCCAGGUUGCCCUUGGAGACACCUGGGCGUGCUCCCUGUCAGACUGGGCCAGUUCCCCUGAGCAGCUGGCACCCACGCGGGAGUCAGGAUUGGGCCGUGGUCCCCUGGCCCUUUGCUGAUUGUCCUCUGAGUGGGUAGCUUAGGGCAGGGGAAUGACAGUCUGGGGACAUUUCACUUUCAGACCUAUUUGUGGAUUUGCUCACAUCAGCUUUUUCACAGGAAAGCCCUGGCACAUCUGGCCAGUUUGUGUCCACCUCAGCGCCCACCAUCCCCCCUUGGCCCUCAGUCCCUAAAUGCAACAGGCUUUCACCUCUGCCCCCCUCCCUCUGCCUUUCCCACUGCCAGCCCCCCCCCCCCCACCUCCUCAGGGUGCUAUGUGCCAGGGACACAGACUCCAGAAUCCCUCAGGCCAAGGCAGGAGUUCUGCUGCUGCCUCCAAGCUCUGCGACCUUGACCACGAAUGGAGCCUCUGGCCCCCAUCUUUGCAAUGGUGAUAACCUGGCAAAGUCCUGCGGAGAAAAUGAAACACUGUACAAAAACCCAGAACAGGCUCAAUCCCUCCCCACCCCACUGCUGGCCAUUGUUUCUGCCUUGGCAGCAGGUGGAGUGACCCCGCUUUGGCCUGUUUUCCCUGCUGUGCGGUCAGUCACACACCAGGGGAUCGUGACCCUCUGCUCAUCUGGCUGCCCCAGGUGCACCGUGACUCUCCCAAGGGCAGGGCCUCGUCUUUCAUCUCAGGAUCUGCAGCGGCCAGCACAGGCCUGCACUUAGUAAAUGUAUCUGGGAAAAGCACAGGCAGGCGGGAAGGUCGGGGCUGAUGUGGCAUCUUUUCCCCUUGCUGAGUGCAGAGCGAGGCCAGCCCUGUGAGACAAAGCAGCUUAUCUAAGGCCACCGGGUGUUGGGCUUGCAAGGAGCUGUCUCUGGGCUCUCACGAGGACCUCCCAGCGCAUGCCAGCCCCUCAUGCUUGCACUGCACUCGAUAUUUCAAAGCACUGUGUCAUCUGAAGCUAACUUCGAGGGGCUGUGGCAGCAGGGGCACUAACCUCAUUUCCCUGGUGGGGGAAACUGAGGCCCAACACCGUGACCAUAAUUCUCUGCUAAGCCCUGUAUCCCGGCCCUGUUCAUCAGCCCGGUCUGAUGAGAAUGGCCCCACUGAAGAGCCACACUCUGGUGGGGACCCUUCGAGACUUAGCAGCUAUUCCUUAAUUCCUGUAUUCAUUUCACAAAAUGUUUCAGGUGCCUGCCCUGUGACCCAGUGGGAUGCAGCAGCGAGCAGUUUCUACAGCUUCCCCCGCGCUGGCCCAUCUCAGUGCAGAAACGGGGUCAUUGCUGUCACAAGUUAGGGGUGUGAAUCCACUUCUUCUGAUCGUGGCUGGUCCAGUAAGGGUAAAGAAUUAACUAAUGUUAACGAGGCGAUCCUCAGUCCUGCUCUCACCUGGUUUUGUUGUAAAUUCGGAGAUAGUGUGCUAUGGAUGAAAGAUGCGUUUACUGGGACAGGAAUGGACAUUUGUGAAAUUUCAAUCCUAAUUUCACUGUGGAUUGCCUUUCAUUCUUUCAUUGACUGGUGCAGAGUAGCAAACACAUGCUUCUGUACGUCAUUCAGGGCCAGGCCCUGGAGUUACCCUGUGAACAGUGUGGGGCUCUUGCCUUGCAGGGGCUGUCAGUCUAGCAAUGCAGGAGACAGCACAACAUGGGGACACAAGACACCACAGGAGUGUGGUGCUCCCUGCGUGAAACCUUCAGUGGCUUCUUGUUUCUCGGGAAAAAUCCACGUGCUUUACCACACCCUUCAAGGCUCUGGUUGACCGGCCUCAGCUUAUCUCUCUGGCCUCAUCUUACCACUUGUUGGGCUCCGCACCAGCUUCCUUCUGUUCCUCACUCUCCCAGACCAUUGCUGCCACAGGAGAAGUCAUCGAUUUGUAGGUGGAGCAGACACCUUCAUGGAAAGAGGUCACUCAGAGAGCCUGGGCCCACCCAUACACAAACCACCUGCUCCUCUCUCGGCGACUGCUAGGUCCUGGCAUGUGCUAGGCCCUGCGACCCCUGUCCCCAAGGACCGAUUACUCUUCUAUACAAAGGGCACAAACAUGGAACACUGAACAACCCUGAGAGAGCCAGAGGGAACCAGAGGUCACUGGGCUGAAAGCGAUUGAGAGUUAGCCAGAAACUAGAAGAAGCAGUGGAUAUAAGCUGUAGGGUAAAGGUUGGGGGUCAGCUAGGUGAUCUGGGGAGAAGGCUGUACUAUUGGCUGUAACAGAACUCUAAACUAGACCAACACUGAGGCGGCCCACACUAUGUUUCAGCGUAAGCCAAAGAAAGACCACCUGGAUUCGAACCCCAGCUCUGUCUUUUAACCAGCUGUGUGUGAGGCCCAAUGACUCAGCCUCCCUGAGACUAGAUUUUCUCAUCUGCAAAGUGGGCAUAAUAACGCCUGCUCCACAGGACAGAGGUGAGAUGGUAGAGAUACGGGGCCUGGUACGUUUUGUAAAUGAUCAGCCUGUGAGCACUGUCCCCUGCCGUCUCCCCCCAGCCUCCCCACCCUCAUGUUGUUGCUGGAGAGAAGGAUGCUUGACAGAGCACGGGGCCACCCUCAGAUCUUAGAGUCAGGCAGGGUAUAACUAAAGGGGAACUGGGGUGCCUGGCUGGCUCAGUCAGAGAAGCCUGCGACUCUUGAUCUCAGGGUCAUGAGUUCAAGCCUGACGUUGGGUGUGGAGAUUACUUAAAUAGAUAAAACUUAAAAAAUAAAUAAAUAAAAAAUAAAGGCGAACUUAUAGAAUUCAAAUAAACAACCCAGGUGACUGGCACCUGAGUCACUUCACCCUGGGCCCAGUUCUGCUUUAUAGAUUAAGGGGGCUGGUGGGUCAGGGGUCUCCAAAUGCAGCAGUGCUGGGGAAAUGCAGGCAGGUCCCCAGGCCUCCACCCAGACCCACCAAAUCAGAGUCCUUGAGGGUGGGCCCCGGAACCAAAUUGUUUAAAAGCUCCCCAGAUAAUUCCAGGGUGCAGCUAGGUCUCAGAACUAUCAGCCAGGUGCCCCCUGAAAAGCCUUUUCAGCCGUUAGAGUCUGGGUUUCUAUUCGUGUCAAAUGCCCUGCGCCGCCGUGGGGGUCUUCUGUCUGGCCCCGAGCUCAUCUGCUGUCCUCAGAGAUAGGGCAGUUCCUCUGGUGCUGCUCACUCCACAAAACCACGAUUCAGGACCACUGAGUGUGGAAAUAAAUCUUGAGGGGCUCCUGGG